AGGAUAAAUCAGGUGUCCAGAACGUGAGGACUCUCAGGCCCCACGGUGUGGCCGCUGUUCCGGCCGUCGCAGCCGUUGUUCCGUCACCCUUGAGCCGCGGCGUGUGGGUCUCCGGGCCUCCAGCGCUGACACGUGCUGCGUCUUGGCGGCCGUUGCAGGCGAAGACUUGUGACCCGGAGCGCAGACAGAAGUGCUUCGUGAAGACAGUCUGACGGGCUGGAAGGUUAGCCCUGCUGCCUGACAGUAACAGAGCUCCAUCCCGAGAGGAGAGCAAGCGUGUGCAAACCUUUCACUGAGCAUUUACUGAGCACCUCCUGUGCACCAGGGCCCAGGAAGCACUGUGGACACUCUGAUGCUCGGGACAUAUGUGGGCCCUACCCUUGACGGCGCACUAUCUGGACUGUUCCAGAAACAGCAGGCAGAUUCUUUACCAUCUGAACCACCAGGAAGCCCAGCAGUGGUAUUAGUACUUCGUCAUCGUCGUCAUCAUUCAGCCCUGAGUCUUCAGGAUCCACGCGGACCUGAGCAGGCGCCCUGUGAUUCUGCGCAGGGUCACAGUGACAGCCAACGUCCUUGAGGGGAAUGGGAGGCUGGGGCCUGAAGGGCUGAGGGAGCCGGCUGUGAGCCCGCGUCGGUCCCCACCUUGCUCUGUGAUCCUGGCAAGGCCAGCGCCCUCUCUGGACCUCCGUCUGCCCCUUGUUCACAGGCAGACGUGCACAAAGGCCCUCCCAGCUCUGCGGCUCUGUGACCAGACUUGUUAAGGGCACCUGCUGUGGGCCCAGCCCAAGGCCAGGUGCUUGGUGAGGAUUUGAUAUCAGAAGUGGAAGGGGCUUGGGACCCCUGGGCCUCCCAGUCCUUUGGAGGGGUGCCUGUUAUCUGAGAAGGAGGGAUUGGGUCUUGCUGGUUAUUUGGUUCCCCCGUGUACACCCUUCCACCCCCAGCAGCCUGAGGUCCAUGCUCUUUCCCUGCUCUGCAAAGCUCCAGCCUUUUGGGACCAAGCCAGCCCUUUCUCUUCCUUUCACGCUCAGGUCAGCGCCACCUCCUCCAGGAAGUCUUCCUUGAUUCAGGACUGAGUUAGUUGCCUUCCUGGGCCACGCUCCGGGCCUCCUCUCAUAAGAUGACAGCCCACCCCGACUGGGCAACCUAACCAACGAGCAACCAACUUGUUGGCAAGUAACCAACACCCUUGAGCCUCCGUUUGGUCAACUGUUACGUGGGGACGUUCAGUGCCAUCUCAAAGAUGAAAACAACCAUGGACGCAGAACCAAGCAGGCCCUCGCAGAGGCUCUCAGUGCGCGAGAGCCCUUCGCUUCGCUGAUCUACAACCUUCCGUCCUUCCGACCUCGCUGAGGCCCGGCGCAGGGCGGGGCGUCCUGGACGCCUUUGCACUGGCUGUCCUGUCCUUCCAGCAAACUGAAAGCAGGUCUCUGCUCGGAGCUCUGCCAGGUGACAGAGCCUAGCGGAAAUCAUCAGCGCAAAACUGUAUUCUGUCUUGAUUGCA
Bubalus bubalis (water buffalo) is the source of this 1501-nucleotide long non-coding RNA. RefSeq lists it as uncharacterized. The record is from RefSeq and is a predicted model, not a curated record. The transcript is spliced from 2 exons. NCBI's taxonomy places the organism in Eukaryota, Metazoa, Chordata, Mammalia, Artiodactyla, Bovidae.